Molecule: long non-coding RNA, 255 nt
Filed under: Solanum tuberosum (potato)
Lineage: Eukaryota; Viridiplantae; Streptophyta; Magnoliopsida; Solanales; Solanaceae
Description: long non-coding RNA (STUB_LNC000638)
Source: RNAcentral
UGAGACAGAUGAUGUGUAAUACUAUGAUGUGAUCGUGAUAUGAUUGUGAUUGAUGACAUGUGCAUAUUCAUUAUUCAUCCCAUGUGUGAACUAUCUGUUGCAUGAGUUCUGAGACACUGAUAUGAGGAUGGAUGGAUAUGAGACACAGUUGAGACUAGCUCCGGCUAGAGAUAUAUGAGAUGGACUAGCUCCGGCUAGCAAUUUGGAUGCCGAUGGGAUCUGGUUCCGGCGGUGAUACAUGGUCCAUGUGUGGCC